Molecule: small RNA, 555 nt
Filed under: Pongo abelii (Sumatran orangutan)
Lineage: Eukaryota; Metazoa; Chordata; Mammalia; Primates; Hominidae
Description: retained intron
Source: RNAcentral
ACACUCUACCACCAUGAAUCCACUUCUGAUCCUUACCUUUGUUGCAGCUGCUGCUGCUGCCCCCUUUGAUGAUGAUGACAAGAUCGUUGGGGGCUACACCUGUGAGGAGAAUUCUGUCCCCUACCAGGUGUCCCUGAAUUCUGGCUACCACUUCUGCGGUGGGUCCCUCAUCAGCGAACAGUGGGUGGUGUCAGCAGGUCACUGCUACAAGUCGUAAGUGUGGGGCCCCUGACUGCAAAGCUCUCAGCCAGGCUGCCCGGGAGAGCUUGGAUUCAGCCCAGGGAAGUACUGAGGUUGGGUAGGAUGGACGAGAGAGAUAGUGGAGAAGAAAACUUGUUGGCAGCAGCUGACUCUCCAGAGCAGAGUGAACACAAGACAGGAAGCUCUCACACCGAGACAAAUCCAUGAAACAGCAAGGGUUGUGGUCAUAAAAGCAGGCAGGGAUCAUCUUGGGGUGGUCAGAGCUAGUGAGAAAAGCAGGCAAGAACUUUUGCUGGUUAGCUACACAUUAAAGCCACCUAAGAAUGAGUAUUUAAAAAUACUGAUGCCUGUGUC